RNAcentral lists this unclassified non-coding RNA (343 nucleotides) under soil metagenome. RNAcentral's name for it is "partial contains 5.8S ribosomal RNA, internal transcribed spacer 2, and large subunit ribosomal RNA". The stretch from base 1 to 120 matches the Rfam family "5.8S ribosomal RNA", at positions 35 to 154 of the family's 154-position model. The record is from RNAcentral.
GAUGAAGAACGCAGCGAAAUGCGAUAAGUAAUGUGAAUUGCAGAAUCCAGUGAAUCAUCGAAUCUUUGAACGCACAUUGCGCCCGCCAGCAUUCUGGCGGGCAUGCCUGUUCGAGCGUCAUUUCAACCCUCGACCUCCCUUUGGGGAAGUCGGCGUUGGGGACCGGCGGCACACCGCCGGCCCUGAAAUGGAGUGGCGGCCCGUCCGCGGCGACCUCUGCGUAGUAAACCAACUCGCACCGGAACCCCGACGUGGCCACGCCGUAAAACACCCAACUUCUGAACGUUGACCUCGAAUCAGGUAGGACUACCCGCUGAACUUAAGCAUAUCAAUAAGCGGAGGA